Molecule: ribosomal RNA, 350 nt
Filed under: uncultured eukaryote
Lineage: Eukaryota
Description: SSU rRNA
Rfam family: Eukaryotic small subunit ribosomal RNA
Source: RNAcentral
CCAGCACCCGCGGUAAUUCCAGCUCCAAUAGCGUAUAUUAAAGUUGUUGCCGUUAAAAAGCUCGUAGUCGAACUUCGGCCCCUGCCGCCCGGUCCGCCUAUUUGGGUGUGUACUGGAGCGGUGGGGGCUUACCUCGUGGUGAGCGGCCAUGUCCUUUACUGGGCGUGGUCGGGAACCAUGACAUUUACUUUGAAAAAAUUAGAGUGUUCAAAGCAGGCUUACGCCCGAAUACAUUAGCAUGGAAUAAUAAAAUAGGACGUGCGGUCCUAUUUUGUUGGUUUCUAGGAUCGCCGUAAUGAUUAAUAGGGAUAGUUGGGGGCAUUCGUAUUCAAUUGCUAGAGGUGAAAUUC